This 480-nucleotide ribosomal RNA is filed under the name uncultured bacterium. Its description in RNAcentral is "bacterial SSU rRNA". It matches the Rfam family "Bacterial small subunit ribosomal RNA", at positions 32 to 507 of the family's 1533-position model. The record is from RNAcentral.
AACGCUGGCGGCAUGCCUUACACAUGCAAGUCGAACGGUAACAGGGAGCUUGCUCCGCUGACGAGUGGCGAACGGGUGAGUAAAGUAUCGGAACGUACCUUUCAGUGGGGGAUAACGUAGCGAAAGUUACGCUAAUACCGCAUAUUCUGUGAGCAGGAAAGCAGGGGAUCGCAAGACCUUGCGCUGAUUGAGCGGCCGAUAUCAGAUUAGCUAGUUGGUGAGGUAAAGGCUCACCAAGGCGACGAUCUGUAGCGGGUCUGAGAGGAUGAUCCGCCACACUGGAACUGAGACACGGUCCAGACUCCUACGGGAGGCAGCAGUGGGGAAUAUUGCACAAUGGGGGAAACCCUGAUGCAGCCAUGCCGCGUGUGUGAAGAAGGCCUUCGGGUUGUAAAGCACUUUCAGUGGGGAGGAAGGGGUGAUGCCUAAUACGCAUCAUCAUUGACGUUACCCACAGAAGAAGCACCGGCUAACUCCGUG